Callithrix jacchus (white-tufted-ear marmoset) is the source of this 2314-nucleotide long non-coding RNA. RefSeq lists it as uncharacterized. The record is from RefSeq and is a predicted model, not a curated record. Lineage: Eukaryota; Metazoa; Chordata; Mammalia; Primates; Cebidae.
AAUGCAGUGGCUGCACAUUAAGCUGUUACGAAUAACUGCUGUUGGGAUGGAAUGAAAUGGAAACAAAUCUGCAUUUUAUUUGCACUCUCUCUGCAAUUCCAUGCCAUCCAGACUGCAGUUACGUUCUGUGCACAGCAACACCGCCAAAAAGGGGCCAAUUGUCAUGUUGUGGGCUGCCUGACACAGAGCCCACAUGAUAAGAAACUGAAGGUGGCCUGCCAUCCACAAUGCACCAGGAGCUGAAUCCUGCCAAGAACUCUGAGUGAGUGAGCGAGCUUGAACGUGGAUGCCUGCCCAGUUGAACCUUGAGAGGAGACCCCAGCCCCUGGCUAAUGCUUUCAUUGCAGUCUGCCAGAACUGAGAAGAUGAGAUCUUGGAGUUUAAGGAGGACAAGUCACUCACCACUCCGCCAAUCACUGGUGGCACUUGGACUGUUCCCUAGGAAUUCUGGAUUUCAAAGCCUGUUCCUGCUCCUCUACUCCAAGCUACCUGAGGGCAGAAAACAUGUCUUCAUUUAUCUUUGCCUUUCCAACAGCAUAUGGCUCUUUCUGACACACAGUGGGUGUGAACAUUGAUAAAAUAUUUAACAAGGGUUAGCAAAGCAAUAAACUCAAAAGCCAUAUCUAGGUCAAUUCAUUUUUGUGUGAACAGAGGGACAUUUUUAUCUCUAACCCAAGGUGUUGAGGCUGAGUUUACAUUUUCUAGUUUGUCCCCAAACUUGGCUUACUUCAGAGAAGAGCACUAUUGGGUCAUAAGAGUUGUCUUUCCUCUACUGUGUAAAAUAAAGAGAUUUAGAUGCUGAAGAGAGAGCUACACAGGAAAAACAAGCAAAGCUACAAUUCUGGGUUACCUUGUCGUUAGCUAGACAUUAAAUACCAAUGCCUAGAAUUCAUUCAAUCAUUUAUUCAUAUAUCCAUUCACGAAUUCAUUCAUUCAUUCAUCUCCCAGAUGGUUUUUUGCCUGAACUCACCUCACUACUUAGGUUUGACAAAGAAACACAGCACAGUCUUUGAUUAUGACAAGCUCAGUCAUGCUGAAUACAUUUUGUUCUUUCAUACGACUUUCUCCUAAAUGAAAAUAGUAUUGCUAAUUGUAAAAGAUGAUUAUAAAAUACAGAGUCAAAACAUUAAAAGAAAAAUUCACUAUAAUCCCCCACUUAAACAUGAAUAACUGACUAACAUUUGGUUGCAUUGCCUCCCAGACUUUUCUAUAUAUAUUUUACAAGUACGAUAUACUGUAAGUACCAAUUUACAGCCUUUUCUUUACUUAACCAGGAUGUUUAUAUAUUUUCAUUUUAUUAGAUACUCCUCGACAGUGCCUUUUUUAAUCUACAAAUUGUUUCACUCAAUUGCUUUAUACUACUUCAUUUAACCAUGGCUUGGAGGUAUUAUUCUUAAUAGUAUUAUUGUUAUUAAAAUAAAAUAAAAUGAAAUAAUGAAACACUGAUGUUGGCAAAGGUGUGGGAAAUGAAAAUACCCCCAAAUUUCACCUGUUUACUUCUUUUGCAUUAGUUUUUUUAAAUUACUUUUGGGUAGCUUGACACAUCUUUAAUUUAAGCACUAAUUAUUGUACAUAAUGCAGCUACACCUGUGGUGAACAUGCUUUUUAUUAGCAUUAAAACUAAAGACAUCAAAGAAUCAUAUCAGGAUAAAACGUUUAUUUCUAAUUUAAUAGAACUGCAAUUAAAGCAAAUUUGAUCUGAAUGAAAUCCCAUCAUAACGGGCCUUUUUUUUCCUACACAGUGAGCGAAAAUUAUUCUCCCCUAAAUUGAAGAUUAAUAACAUGUUUUUAAUGUUAAAUGUAGCAAUUCAAGCAUUAGGUUGCAAUUCAAGUUCAACAUCAUUGAACAUUUUAUAAACUUCACAUUUUAACAUCUCUGAAAAGCGCUCUGAGGUAAAAGCAUUAGCAUUAAAUGCAUUAAUGUUAUUUUUCUUUAUAAAUGAGCUUAUAACGGUGUUGUUACCUUCAUUUGAAUAUUUUAAUGAAGGGAUAAUAUAAGGAGAGUGCUCCAUUUUCAUAAGGUAAUUGUUUCUUCCCUAAGUGGCUAAACUUGGACAGAAAGUGGAGUUUAUCUCAUUGAAAUUCUAUUAUGGCUGCAUAGUUGUUGUUACUUGUCAGAAUCUUUCAUUACCUGGUAACUGGGACUUUUGGCUAACGCUCUUCCUUCCCAUGACAUCCAGUCUUCUGCUGUCCUGUGGUGUAAUCCUAUCCUCUGGCAAGUCACAGCAGCAAAUCUUUGGUAUCUUGCUCUAGUACUCACUGGCUCGGCACUUAAACUUUAGCUGGAUGGAGAAUUCUGAUUUAAAUUAAGUUC